GACGAACGCUGGCGGCGUGCUUAACACAUGCAAGUCGAGCGAUGAAGCACCUUCGGGUGUGGAUUAGCGGCGAACGGGUGAGGAACACGUGAGGAAUCUGCCUUCCACUCUGGGAUAACUCCGGGAAACCGGGGCUAAUACCGGAUACUUUCAACUGGCGGCAUCGCCGGUUGAAGAAAGUUUUUCGGGGGAAGAUGACCUCGCGGCCUAUCAGCUUGUUGGUGAGGUAAUGGCUCACCAAGGCGACGACGGGUAGCCGGCCUGAGAGGGGGACCGGCCAAACUGGGACUGAGACACGGCCCAGACUCCUACGGGAGGCAGCAGUGGGGAAUAUUGGGCAAUGGAGGAAACUCUGACCCAGCGACGCCGCGUGAGGGAUGAAGGCCUUCGGGUUGUAAACCUCUUUCAGCAGGGAAUAAGCGAAAGUGAAGGUACCUGCAGAAGAAGCACCGGCUAACUAUGUGCCAGCCGCCGCCGUAA
This 480-nucleotide ribosomal RNA is filed under the name uncultured bacterium. Its description in RNAcentral is "partial 16S ribosomal RNA". It matches the Rfam family "Bacterial small subunit ribosomal RNA", at positions 28 to 523 of the family's 1533-position model. The record is from RNAcentral.